Long non-coding RNA from Numida meleagris (helmeted guineafowl), 7016 nucleotides. RefSeq lists it as uncharacterized. The transcript is spliced from 3 exons. NCBI's taxonomy places the organism in Eukaryota, Metazoa, Chordata, Aves, Galliformes, Numididae. The record is from RefSeq and is a predicted model, not a curated record.
CUGCUGCGAAUUAACCAUAAAAGCCGUCAACAAUAGCUAUCCUUCCAUCUCGGGCUGUUCGACUAGAGGGACUAUAUGGUGUUCCUCCGCGCUACCGCCUCCCAGCCGAGAAGCGGGAUCACGUGACGGAGCAGCCGAGGACACUCCUCCCUCCCGCCCGCCGGGGAGUGUUGGAGGUUUGCGGAGGGGCUUCUGCUCCUGCCCGCCAACAAAGCCCGAGGCGCUCGGCGCGCUGAUUGGCUGGCGGCGUGAUAUUCGUGUGCGCGCUGAGCCGCCAUUGGCUGAGGUCCGAAAGAGGCGAGAUGGUGAGGCGAGAGGCACGGAGGAUAAGGAGCGACAAAAUGGCGGUGUGGAGUCUUAGCGCUCUGCUUGCGGCCUCACUUUUCCGUGGCCUGUCCCCCUCUAAGCACCGCGCCUUCUUUGUUCCUAACAGCUCCUCACACUCCACACGAAGCCCCGUCCCCGCCCAAGCACUGUUCCCUCUUCGUUCUUAACAGCCCCUUCAGACAAAGCCUGGUGGAUUUGAGGGCGGAACUCUCCUGAGGAGAGUCGCUGCUCCCUCAGAUAAGCGGGAGCCUCCCUGUCUGCCACCUGCCCCACGGAGAUAGGGCUGUCUGGGGCAUGGGCUGUGUGUUUGUGUCCCUGACAGCCUGCCAGCAUUAUAGCAAUGGAAUAACGUUGGCCUGGGGUGGUUUGUGAGGAGACCCAAGGGCGGCCAUUACUCAGGUGGAGGAGAGCAUUAGUGGGUCAUCUAUACAGCCUUGCAGCCCUAGCAAUCAGCCUCACCUUGGGAAGCUUUUCAAGCAGUUUUGCAUUGUUUUAUCUAAACUAAAUCAGCCAGGUGAGAAGGAAGCCCUGCUUUCCUCACCUCUAGCCCAGCCUAAACAUUUCUAGCAGCUCCUCUGGCCUUCAGCCAGCUCAGCUAACCCCCAUAUGAAACCCAGGGGGAACAGUUGGUUUCAGUCCCCUCCUGAUUCCCUGAUGACGCUAAAGCACCACAUGCAGCUCUGAAUGAGCUGGGAAGGUCGCUACCCAUGUACUCCCUCACUACCCAGCUUUUGGUUGCUUUCCUACACUGCCAGCCCUACAGCGCACCAUCAGCUCUGAAGGUUAAUCAUCGAAUGACUUAGGUUGGAAGGGACCUUAAAGAUCAUCAAGCUCCAACCCCCCUCCAUGGAUCCUUGCUUGCUCAAAACAUCAUCACCCUGUCGGUCAAACUCCUCUUGGCUCCACUGCAAAAGGCUCCCUUGUUUUCCAGUUAGGCCUUGGUAGUAUUUGUGUACAGCCAUGGUUGGCUUUGGCCUUGGCUCAGUUUGCACAGGUAUAGCUGCCUGGAACUCAUUAAACAGCCCCACUGAUAAUCCCAGAGGACAGGCAUGGCCAGGGAGGACAGGCAUGGCCAAGUUUCUACUUUUAGCAGCAGGAUGUCACCAUCACCGAUACAAAUCAGGAAUCAAGCGUAGAUUUUAAAUGGCUCACUAAGGUGGAAGAGAAAAAUGCCCUCCAGUGCCAGAAAACACGAUAGCAACUGAAUGAUCUCAGAUGACUGCUCUGAUACACGCACCAAUAAGCAGGCAGAUCUUGCUUCAAAGCAAAAUUCAGAGGAUGGAUGCAGCAGCUUCCAAAGAAGUCCGAUGGGUGAUUGGCUUGGAUGAGAGGCAGCAUCUCUGUGAUUUGGCUGGCUGAGGGAGGGCUCUCAUAUCCCCCACAUCCAAGUGCAAAGAAAAAGGUGAUUGCACUACUGUAAUUGUAGCUAAAUAAACAGAAAUGCUCUACUCACCCAAUCCUUCCUCUUGAAAAGGUAAUUAUAGAUUUCUGCAGAAAGGACUCUGGGUACGUGUUGGCAAGGAUCACGCAAGCAAAAAUGAUGCAUGUAAUGAGGAAAUUAACCCAGAUCUGCCUGUUUCCUAGCUGCCCGCUUCCCUUUUUGUUUUGCAAACCUGGAAAUUCGUCUGUCUUUUGAGCGCCAGGCAGGUUUUUUUUUUUUUUUUCCAUCUUCAAUUCAGGAAGUGAAAUCAAGUAACAAAAAGCCAGCCAUUUAGUAACAGUGUUAUUUCUCCCUGUUUCCUGAAGGAGACUGCAGAAUUACCAUUGUUACAUAAUUUAAUGAGAUAAGUCUUUAAUUCUGUUACAAAACAUGUCUCUGCUUUUGCAGAUGUUACAUCAGAGAUUUCUCCUUGGUGGCUUGAGUUUUGUGACUGAGCUAGAAGAUAAUCCUUCAAGCCUAAGUAACAGUUCCUUAGGAAUUUUUGUGCAAAUAAAAUAGCAAAUAUUUUCUAAGCACAGAACUACUAGCUACCCACUAACUCAAAUGUUCCUUUUUCAGCACCGCAGAAUAUAUUUGUGGCUUAGACGUGUGGAGAGAAGCCUGAUAGCUCUGAAGAAAAUUGAAUUUGCAGAACAAAAAGAUGGCUUCUGAAUGAAGAUUAAUGCGUGUGCAUGUUCAAUGAACUCCUGAUGACACGUUAACAGCUUUAGCGCUGCUGAUGUUAUUUUCCUGCCCUAGGCAUGGUAUCUCAGCAGAGAGCUCCUGCAAUAAGUCAGAUCCAUCCCUAUCCAGAAGCGAGGUGCCAGCUGCAGGCAAGAGGAGAUGCUCAUGCAGAGCUCACAGCAGGAUAGAGGCCAAAGUGACCUUGAUGGGGAGUGACGAAAUGCUCAGAUAUAUACAGCACUGCAGAAACCACCAAGAGGACAACAGGAAGCGAACCCCAGGUGCACAGCCUUACUCUGCACUUCAGUGAGCAAAGAAUUUCCAGUCACCAGGAGGAAAUCUUCCGGCAGAGUGUUGAGGGAAACACAAAGAUGGAUUGAGGCAAAGCACUUGUAAAGUCUGAGCAAUUUUGAGGGAGAAUUACCUACAGUCUCUGCAGCUCAGGGUAAUUCGCAGUGCUUGGUUGCUUCUCCCCUCAUGCAGCACAAAUGCAUAACUGGAGAAUUGGUUCUGCCAGAUCCUCUCUGUAAGCUCUUUAAGGAUUGCUUUAUAGACCUUCCAUUUUAAAACCGGGUGGAGAGAUGAAUAUAUGUGAUUAAAGAUUGAGCUGGGAGGUAUUAGUGUCCAUCUUUUAUUAUGUACAAACAAAAAAUAAGGUAGCCAUAUGCUGUGCCUCAUUUGUUUUGGACCGGUGCACCAAAUGGAAUCUCUAAUAAAUCAUUCAUUGCUUGCCCACCCCCUCAUUUCCUUAUGUUUCCGUCCUGAUAUGUAAAUUUCACUGACAUUUGAAAUUAGACUAAUAAAAAAAAAAAAGGAUUAAAUCUGCAAUUUACAUUUGCAACUUGCAGUUCAAUUAUUUCAGACAGAUAUGGAAACACUCUUGGUUGUCCACCUACAUUUUUCUUCCUGAGCAAAAGCAGACAUGCCAAGCACAUGCUGAUAGCUCACAACAUACAUUUCUCCAGAGGCUCAGUUACUCAGAGCUGGACAGGCUGUGGCCAGCUGCCAUAAGGAAAAACAUUGUGCAAAUCCAGUAAGAGGGAGGUGAGAUUUAACUUGUAACUUGCCCAAGCAUGAAUUUCCUGAGCAAAGCUACAGUGGGUUGAAAAUGAUGUUUAGCAAAAAAUAUGUGUGAAGGGGGAGGGAGCUGACAUUUGUUCAGAGCAUCCGAGGAUUUGGAAGUUUUCUCAUCUUCCAGCCGUAUUUUAUUAUGAUGGAAGGACUUGAGGGUCAAGUACAAUCCCUUGUGUGUAUUAGCACAUAUGGGAGCAGUUUAGCAUGCAAAUGAAAGCCUUCCAGUUGUCCAAACAAUAAAAGAACAGAACCAUAUCUCAAUGGAAAUCGCUGUUAUUCACCAGGGCUCAGUUAUGCAGACCCAGUGCAGAUGUGUGUGCGCUCAGCGCCCACCAAAGUGAAGGUGCAUCAGCAGCACCUGCUGGAGCCACAAGUACCAGGUGCCUUGUGCCUUCCUGUGAAACAGGAUGUGGAGGAGAGUGGCAAUGCAAAUUCCUUGUUUUGUUUUUAACUUUCCAGGAGUUGGGCUCACUGAUCCUUAUGUCUCUUCCAACUUGGGAUAUUCUGUGAUUCUAUAAUUCUAAUGUCACGUAACUUCAGAGCGUAUUGAAAGGCAAGGAGGAGAAACUGCAAAUGGUUGUACUCUGUUCAUGAAAUCAAACAGCAUCCUGAGGAUAUCUUGGAUGCAUUGAGGUCACUUGGUUUCCAAUGCUGGCAGGCAGAUUCAGCAGGAGCAUAGGCAUAGCAGGUAGUUCAGGCAGAGCUCUACAACUCAUCCGGGGAUAAAUCAGAGUUGAGGCUCUGAGUAGCUCCCUGGGUCCAUAGGGAACACUGCAGACAUUAUUUUGUAAUACUUCUCCACUCUGUAAGCAAAAGCUGCUGGCAGCUGGAAUUUACCAGCAGACUUUAAUCUGUAUCAAUAUGUGUGUUUGUUUAUGGGGGAUGAGGGGGAAAUUCUUGGCGGAUGUUGAUGCGUUCAGGAUGCCAAACUGAUAACCUUUGCCUCAGUAACUCAUUUUCCCUCCUGAGGUCUCUGCACAGGGAUGUUUGGCAAAGGAAAGAAGAUUCUUCCAGAAGCCCGCUCUGCUCCCUACACUUCAGCCUGGGCUGCUGGCCGGCAUGGGCAGCCUUGGCACAGCCUCCUCAGGUGUGCUACAGGGGGACUGGCUAUGGACUAGCUGGAGAAUAGUCCCCCAAAAUACUUCAUAGCCAAAGCAUUGUCUUGAGUAAGUGUUGUGGCUUCUCAGCCUAUUGCCCCUCCUACUUGUGUCACUGUGGUGCUUGGUGAGGGAGCUUUGCAGUGCUGUCGGCAGGAAGAUGUUACUGAGCUUGACUUUUGUGAGAAUUCUGUUGGAGGAACCAGCCACUGCAACCCACCUCUGCUGGGGGGUAUUGCUGGCCUGCUCUUUUGGCAUUCAGAGGGUGAGAGCUUUCCUGCGAUUGCGACAAAGGUGGGCCUCUCCUCUGGGUCUGAGGCAAUGCAGGUGCUGUUCAGGAGGGCAACACCUGAACAUCUUGGUCAGGAAUUGUCAGUGACACUGAUCUGCAAGCUGAACACUCACCAGAAAAGCGAGUCUCCCUGAGGCAGUGCAGGCUCUGUCUGACCACAAAAGGGCUGAGCAUGUCCCAAGCCACACAGUCUGGAAGUCCAUUGUGCCCAUGACACCACACAUCUUCCUUUGCCAGUACACAGUGAUGAAGAUGGAUCACUCUUCUUCUUACUUUCUCUUCUUAUGCAAGAAAGCAAUUACUUUCUUUUUUUUUUUUUUUUUAAGCGGGUUCUUAUUACACAUCACCAGUUUGUCAUUCAAGAAAAGGCACUGUCCUAGAUGCUUGCUGCUGUCUCUUUGUGGUGAUUUGGAAAUUAAGGGAAGAUUUGUGCAUUGGUCACGCGCUUGCUUCAGCAAAACCCAACCUCCACUUGAAUGUCAGGAAGCUGGGACCCCAGCCAACACUCUCUGACAAGCAACGUGGGAGCACAGUUCUGUGGGAUUACUGCAUCUUCUGCUAUCUUUGCUUCGGCAUACCUCAGGCCCUCUGACAGCAUGUCACCACUGCUAUAAACAACCAGGAGCCUGCACAUAAUUCAGAUGAUAUUAUCUGGGUAGCUGAAGGUAGUUACGUCCAAGGCCAUAACUAACCUCCGUGCUAAAUAAAUUCAAGAAUUUGAAGGCAAAAAUGUCUCUUUGCCAUACUCCUUCCAGGAAUAAUUGUUUCUUGCCUUUCAAAGGUGGUGAGGAGCCUGCCUGCAGCAUUGUGAGUUUUGACAAAACAUCUGUCAUGGAACAGGUAAAGAUGCACUCCAUCAUUUGCCAUCUAUGCCCUUGUGUCUGUUGCCUAUUAUGCUCAUGUCCUUUGCAGUGCUGAACAGAAUGAGACAAGAAAGCCUUACAGGACUGGGAUCAUUGCAGUGGGAUGUCUAACAGGGCAGUAUGUCACUGCUGCCUUUGCAGAAUGGCAGUGAUUCUACCACAAGAGGCAGGGAAAGGGGAGGACUCGCACUGCAGCUGAGAGAACUUAAAAGAAACGAAACCCAGAAAACUCACGGAAGCAACUUUUCCUCAUUAUUUAUAUGAAGAAGGCUUUUCAUGAGGAAUGUGGAUAGAAUUUGUAUAUACACUUAUAUAUAUAUAUACACAUAUAUAUUUUCCCUGAGAAGUUUAGCACUGAGUUUGAAAAGACAGAUCAAAUUGCUACUUAGCUACUGGAGCCAGGGAAAUUGAACCAGGGCAGCAAAUUAAAAACCCAUCUGAUUUCUAGUGUGCUUAAAGUGAUUGUGUUCAGAACCGACUACUGCAUGAGUACUUUGAAAAGCUUAAGACAGAGAAAAGUUUGAGUUCCAUAUGCCAAACUCCUGCUUUCCUGCUAUCCGUAAAUUGUCAAGAAUACUUUCUAUGAAUGGAAUGACUUCAAGAUCUCUGCUUUACCCUUCGGUCUGACCAGUCUCUUCAGCUUUACCAUUUGCAAGGUUAUUGCACAGGAUCACAUGCUAUAAAGAUAUUAUUAGCCUGCUCACCAUCCCAUUUCUGUCUCAGUGACUUGAGAAUAACGCUGUCCUUCUCAGAGUAUGCUAAUAAAACUGUUAUACCAUGCUAUCAUCGAUUGUGUAGAGGACAUACUUGUUGCAUGACAGCUAUUUUAAGAAGGUUUUGUAUCUUUUGAAUUUUUAAAUGUAAGCUUGGUUACAUUCAUUUCCAGGCCAGGACCGUGCUUGUUUAACAAGGUGCGCUCCCAUAAGCUGCUUGUUCCUUAGGCUAAGAACAAAAGAGAACCGGACUGUUUGCAGAGUGCCAUUUGUGCUGCUCUUUGCAGCAACCUUUUGCAUACAUGAAAUAAUUACCAUGACUCCACUUAAUUAUUUCUUCCCUCCAUUAAACAAACCCUAUCUUUUGAUCUCACUGUGCAUGCUGGGACAGCUUUUAUGCAAAAGUGCAAACUGCUACAUACAUUAAACAUGGAUUGCAAGCCUUAAGCUUUCCAAGAGCAUUAAUGUGAGAGGUGUCAUAGCUGGCACAGGUUCCACACAGCAGCUUGUACUAGCUGUUCCCAUAAGAGACGAUAUGAUGUGAAA